This is a non-coding RNA of Mycena latifolia, 93 nucleotides long. The record is from the annotation of a GenBank genome assembly. Lineage: Eukaryota; Fungi; Basidiomycota; Agaricomycetes; Agaricales; Mycenaceae.
GACCUGGUGGCGAAUGGUAUCGCGCGCGCAUCCUGUAGCUCGUCCCCCUACUUUUUAGGGCGGGAGAGGCUGGUUCGAAUCCAGCCCAGAUCG